GGGCGGGGCCGCGAGCGUUCGGGCCCGGCUGGCUGAGGGGGCGCGCGGCUGCUGCUGUCGCGAUGGUCUCCUGGAUGAUUUCGCGGGUCGUCGUGCUGGUGUUUGGGAUGUUGUAUCCUGCAUAUUAUUCAUACAAAGCUGUGAAGACAAAAAAUGUGAAGGAGUAUGUUCGCUGGAUGAUGUAUUGGAUUGUGUUUGCUCUUUAUACAGUUACUGAAACCGUAACUGACCUAACAAUCUCUUGGUUUCCGCUGUACUAUGAACUGAAGAUAGCUUUUGUUAUUUGGCUUCUUUCCCCAUAUACUAGAGGGGCAAGUUUAAUCUACAGAAAGUUUCUCCACCCACUUCUGUCUUCUAAAGAAAAGGAGAUUGAUGAGUACCUUGUACAAGCCAAAGAAAGAGGUUAUGAGACCAUGGUGAAUUUUGGAAAGCAAGGGUUGAAUUUGGCAGCAACUGCUGCAGUGACAGCAGCUGUAAAGAGUCAAGGUGCAAUAACUGAGAAACUGAGAAGUUUCAGUAUGCAUGAUUUGACUACCAUACAAGGAGAUGAGCCAGUAGGACAGAGACCCUAUCAGACGUUACCAGAAGCAAAAAGGAAAACCAGAGCCUCUGCAAGUGAAUCUUCAGGAUACAAAAGCUCACUGGAAAAAAAUCCUGGAGAUGAUAAAUCUGAUGAGGAGGCGGAGGGGACACAUUCAGAGGAUGAAAUGUUUGCUCAGAGAGGCCUUCGAAGAACUCAGAGCAUGAAAUCUGUGAAAACUAUUAAAGGCCGUAAAGAGAUACGCUAUGGGUCACUGAAAUACAGAGUGAAGAAGAGACCUACUGUAUACUUCUAAGUGUAUUGCACAAUGCCUGCAAGACAAACUGCUGUACUACAACUUGAAUUCAAUGCGUCAGUCUAAUAGCCUACUGCAAAAGUCUCUUCUGGACAGCUCGAUUCUGCUCUUUGGAAUGCAUCCUCAAACUGGUUCACUGUAUUUUUUAAACUUUUUUUCCUUGCUGUUGGUUGUCAGCUGAUGCUUGGCAGGGCACAGUGGCAUCAUUAACUCUCAUCCCAGUAACAUGUAUUCCUUUUUGCUUGUUGAACUUAGUUUAUUUUAGUUUGAAAUAUCACACAAUCUUUGCAACUUGUGUACAGAGAAUUUUCAAACUUUUUUGCCUUAGCAACUGGAAAAGUGGUAUGUCUAGUCCUUGCCAAUGAACUUCUUGGGAAAGUGUUAAAUCAAAACAUUCUUUUUUGUUUGGGAAUGUGAAGUGUAGUUCAUGUCAAAUUAUAUCAUCCUAGGAACAGAAUGUUUUCUGAGAACUGACUGGCACCAACAGGACUGCUAAUAUAAAACCUAUGCAGAGGCUAAAUGUUCAUGAAAUAAGUAUUUCAUGUUAAAUCAUAUAAAGGUUUCAUGCUGUCCCAAAACAUGUCUAAACUGAAAGAGGUAACUUAGCAACAGCCUGCUGUACGUGUUAAAAUACACAGUGUGAGAUGAGGAUUACAUUGAUGGCCCCAGUUGCAAAUAAGCUUAGGGCAGACUCUGAUUACAAGGUAAUUGCCAAUAUUAGCUGCUUAAUGCUAAUUACUUUGCUAUGUUAAAGUCAUUGAAUAUUAUCCCAGAUACUUUUUGCAAACUGUAGUGAAUUCAAAAAUGAACAGAAGAUAAUUUGGUUAAAUAGAAUGGUGUGGAGUAAAUGCUAGGUGCAUUUUACACAGUGUUCAUGACAAAAGUUGCAUUUUAUUUUUGAUGUUGCUUUUAUUAAUGGGAAGUUGGUAUUUUAAAGUAUUUUUCUACAAAAAUGUGUAUAUGCAAAGGCAAUACUUCAACAUUUUUCAAGAACUUGUAUUUUUAAAUGCUACAGACCCGAGACUGUAUACACUGAGACUGAAAUUAGUAGCUUUAAAAAAAGCUUUAAUUUUUAUAUUGUAAAAAUAACUUGCUGUCAACUUGUUUACAUGUUUGUAGGAGGGAAAGCUUCAAUAUGCAUUGACUUACCUUGAUACUGUCUUUAAUAAAUGCUGCUUUGAGCAGGAUGCAACGGA
Molecule: RNA transcript, 2032 nt
Organism: Colius striatus (speckled mousebird)
Lineage: Eukaryota; Metazoa; Chordata; Aves; Coliiformes; Coliidae
Gene: REEP3
Gene name: receptor accessory protein 3
Exons: 9
Source: RefSeq, a predicted model, not a curated record